Long non-coding RNA from Podarcis muralis (Common wall lizard), 920 nucleotides. RefSeq lists it as uncharacterized. The record is from RefSeq and is a predicted model, not a curated record. NCBI's taxonomy places the organism in Eukaryota, Metazoa, Chordata, Lepidosauria, Squamata, Lacertidae.
CCCUUACCCGGCAAGGCAGUGCAGAAAGCAAGCCUUGCGCGGAGAGAGCUCUGCCUCCCGCGACCCUCUCCUCGCGCCUUUCCAAUAGCAGGAACUCUAGACUCUAAACUAUCUUUCCCUGUAAGGGAGAGUGGGAGUCCCGCGCGCUUUCGACACGGCUGUUCCGCAGCGGCUCCUCACCAAGCUCCUAGGCGGAUCACCAAACAAAGCGGCUUUGGCGCGUCAGAUUUUAUACAUUUGCUCUGGCUCAGUCAAAAGCAGCGCCGCGACAACGAAGGGAUGGAACUGCCUUCUAGAAGGGAGGGACUGCUCCACCGCAGUUGAGUGAUCCGAACCACGCCUCCUUUUUACUUUCGCUUCGCCACCUUGCGAGGGGAAACAGGAAGGGUCUUCUACAUCGGGUGGAGCAAAUAGAGGGAAGGACCUCCCCCCCCCCCCAACACACACAUAAUACUAGAGCUCGAGGCUGUCCAGCGACAGCAGACGAUUCUAGAUCGGUAAAAGGAAAAGACCUCUAGCCGCGCAACGAAGACUUGGAUAUUUGACUGGAACAUGCGCCCAGAAGGAAGGAGGAGGGCUGGAGAAGAUGCGAGAAAGGUGUCAGCACGUGCUGCCUUGGGAGAGACGUGUAGCUUUGUUGUAUGGAAUCAAAUGCUUCUAGAUGCCUUACUCACUUUUUUGUUAUUUCUCUAUGAGACAAAUAUUUUACAGAUCCCACAGCUGGGUCAGAUACUCAUUGCUGGGGGGGGGUGAUAUUGUGAGCUUGGGUUGGGGACCAGAUCCCCCAUAAUCUCUACAUUAUGUGAAAUGUUAAGAGUUUGACCAAAUGCAUGAGAAACUGAUCUACGAAGUGAAAGUACUGGGAGCCUUGGAUUGCAGGCUCACAAUUAUUAAUUAUUACAGCAUCCUAAUAACAUCCA